UGGGGGAUAUUGCACAAUGGGCGAAAGCCUGAUGCAGCGACGCCGCGUGGGGGAUGAAGGCUUUCGGGUUGUAAACCUCUUUCGCUAUCGAACAAGGCCCGCUUAGGGUGGGUUGAGGGUAGGUGGAGAAGCAGCGCCGGCUAACUACGUGCCAGCAGCCGCGGUAAUACGUAGGGCGCGAGCGUUGUCCGGAAUUAUUGGGCGUAAAGGGCUUGUAGGCGGCUUGUUGCGCCUGCUGUGAAAACGCGGGGCUUAACUUCGCGCGUGCAGUGGAUACGGGCAGGCUUGAGUGUGGUAGGGGUACCUGGAAUUCCAGGUGUAGCGGUGGAAUGCGCAGAUAUCUGGAGGAACACCGAUGGCGAAGGCAGGUCACUGGGCCAUUACUGACGCUGAGGAGCGAAAGCAUGGGUAGCAAACAGG
This 420-nucleotide ribosomal RNA is filed under the name bacterium. Its description in RNAcentral is "partial 16S ribosomal RNA". It matches the Rfam family "Bacterial small subunit ribosomal RNA", at positions 355 to 776 of the family's 1533-position model. The record is from RNAcentral.